This 2840-nucleotide long non-coding RNA is filed under the name Hordeum vulgare. Its description in RNAcentral is "long non-coding RNA (HVUL_LNC019479)". The record is from RNAcentral. Lineage: Eukaryota; Viridiplantae; Streptophyta; Magnoliopsida; Poales; Poaceae.
GCAUUCAUAAUGUUUAAUUCAUGUUCACUACACAGUGCAUAUACAAACUAUUGCACUCUUCUAUUCUUCACAAGAUGUCAUUCAUCCAUACAUUCAUUCAACAUAUAUACAAAUUCAUUUGUUUUCUUUGCUCAAGUUAGCUACAACCAUCGAGGAAAUACAUAAGUUGAUAUAUAAGACAAGUUGCACAAUUUGAUGGUAAGAUCCUAAGAGAACAAAUGUUUGAUCACUUGACUACUACAAAAUAUUAUGAAACAAACCAAGUUUUCAAUCGCCAUGCCAACAUCAACUUCCGUAUCAACAAAAGGUGUCAACCAUGCUAUUUUCUGCCAUUGUUCUCUGCAAAAUAAUUUACUGCCUUGUUGGAUAAAAGCACCAAAUAGUCAUAAAAGAGGGAAGAACUGUACACACUCUAUAGAGUAAAAAAUAUAUCAUGGCAUGUCACCUUUGAAGAAACCAAUGAAGCUCUAUUGCCAGGUAUAAUAACAAAUAACAACAGGAGAAGAACUAAUGUUUGAAGCAAUAAGGGACAUACUUGGUCUAGCUUAAUGUAAAGUAUCCAGUAGUUUCUGCAUAAGGCAUAACAAAUAUGGAUGUAAGCUGGCACAUAUGCGAGCGUAUAAAACAUAAACAUGCCAAAUUAUUUUAUGAUGUAAAUAAGUAGCGUGUGAUCCGAAAUAUAUACCAGUAUAUGUUAGCAAUGCAAAUAAUAUAGUUUUCAGAAUCUAAAAAGCACGCAGACGAGGACAGAAAGACCGGGAUACACAUACGGGGGCAAAGGAUACAACAUUUUCCAAAACAGCCAUACGGGGAUACAACGCGUAUAUAUAUAUAAUAAAAUAAUAAUAUGACAUAUAAUAUAGUGUCAAGACAAAAGUUAAUGAGAAAGAUAUCACAAUAGAGAAUAUUGUCCUAUUUGGUGUCUCUUUUAUCAAGUGCGAUUGGUCCUCGUCCUCCCAUGCCAUGGUACCUAACAACAAGGAGUACAAGCAGCAAGCAUUCAUCAAUUGUUGUCCAUGUUCAAUACCAGCACAAGCAUUCAACUAGCAACUAGAAACUAGCAAACAUGUAGCAACAUGCAACAAAUAGUAGGUCAGCGGCAGCAGUAGGCCAGCAACAUAAGCAUUCAAAGAGCGGCAUGACUACUAUAAGCAUUCAAAGACCAUCAAGCACAACAUCCAACAACUUUAUGGAAGAGAUCGGAAUAAAAGAGAUGAAGAAGUCCAGGAGAGAUUGCUGUAUUUAGGAAUUUGGGAGGGUUACCUACCAUUGGUAGGAGAGGUCAUUGCUUGCCCGUCCAAGGGUAGUAGUCACCGGUCAAGUAUAUGAUAAUAAUACAAUGUCAUUCUUGACAUGACUGGUGACCCUAUUUUGGAUGGUUAAAUAUGUAAAUAGCAAGCAAACAUAAAAGGAACAAGGAAAGUAUCAAUGCAUUGUUUAUUUUGCAAUAUCAUGGCUGAAUAAAGAUAUUAAUUUUUGGACAACAAGCUUGAGGUGGUUGCUGCUCUUAAAUUGCCCAGUAAGAAAAUACAAGUAAAUGCUCUCUCAGAAGCUUAAGAUGUACAUUACAACUUCUAUUUGGAGACUAACUCGAAAUUCAACAUGUAUCAAACAGAAUAUGGUUCCUUUUCAUUGAUAGAGAAUGCUUUGAUUUCACUAUCAUUUGCAAACAUGUGCUCUCCUUUGUAGUCAUAUUUUACAUGCUUAUGUAUCUACAAUUUUUACACAAUUAUCUAUCAAAAGCAUGCAAAAAAAGACAAAAGAAAAAAUAUGAACAAAGUCCCAUACAAUCCAAGAUAUCACGUGACUUACUAAAGCACAACCUUCAUAGGAUUAUGAUUUAAGACAACCAGAACCUUGUGGGAGCGGUAAUUCUUCAUGCCUAGGAAGAAGUUGCGUCAUCAGAAGUGUCCAACUCCACAGUCACAAUGAAUUACUUGUUAAUGAAACAACAUGCGCGGUUGACAAAGAAGCUUGACCCAAAACUUACGAGUACACAAAAUUAGGAGAUGGCUGCAUUAUUUAUGUGCACAUGGUGGAGAGCUACACAAAUUCAGUAGUUAGACAAGGUGGAACAAAUGAUCUGCACUGUGUGAGAGUCUUCUCAUGGGUUGAACCGUUUUACUAUAAUUGUCCAGCUAUGUGUAGAUGGUGUGUGAUGUAAUGAGACAAGGGAACACACUGUUAGUUAUUCCCCAUUUGUCAACACUUAUUAUUGUAUCAUAGUGCCCUUGAUUUUUGGCCUACCCGUACUGAUCAUCGUAACUGAAUAUUGAAGUCCAUAGAUAUUUUAAACAUACUUAUCUAUUCUCCUGUUCUUCAACGUAAGAUAUCUAUAUUUUCCUUUCGCGCACACUAGCAUAGCGACAGAUUAAUUAAAUUGACCUGCAUUAUUUAGUGGCUACCAAUCAAACUGUCAAUAUAUAAAUUCCAUCGCGGAGAAUAAACAAGAGAAGGAAGUCAAGCACAUGGAUCCAGCCCACCAUUCAAAUACCCUACAAUCGCGGUGACCUUGCCAUGGAGCUCGUCUCGUCUUGCUAACUGCUCGCAUCAAUCCACUUCUAGUAGGGAUGAGAGACAUCGAUGAUGAUGUGGGCAUAUUAUUAUUAUCAUUUUCAAAACAUUAGGAACUAUCAUUAUUAGAGAUCAAUGUUCAUCAACUAUUAUUAUUUCUAGUAGGGAUGAACAUAUAUAUAAUGUAUAUUACCAUUUAAUGAAAUAAACAAGUAUUCAUCUUGCUGUAUUGCAGGGAGAGAGAUGCACACCUAUGAUGUAGCCACAGGAUACUGAAGACCAUCCGCCGCUGCGUAGACGGGGUCCAUGCGGACGUCCUGCUCAUG